AACAUAAAAAAGAAAGUAAGUAGAAAUGAAAUGACAUUUCGUGUAUCGUGUGCGUGUUUGUUUGCUUUUGUAUGUGAUGACUUUUUCUUUUUUUU
RNAcentral lists this non-coding RNA (95 nucleotides) under Foraminifera environmental sample. Lineage: Eukaryota; Foraminifera. The record is from RNAcentral.